UCUGUUAGUAGGUCCCAUACUCUGUUAGUAGGUCCCAUACUCUGUUAGUAGGUCCUGUGGUAGGAACCAUACUCUGGUAGUAGGACCCAUACUCUGAUAGUAGGUCCCAUACUCUGUUAGUAGGUCCCAUACUCUGGUAGUAGAUCUUGUAGUAGGUCCCAUACUCUGUCAGUAGGUCCUGUAGUAGGAACCAUACUCUGGUAGUAGGUCCCAUGCUCUGUUAGUAGGUCCCAUACUCUGUUAGUAGGUCAUGUAGUAGGAAGCAUACUCUGGUAGUAGGUCAUGUAGUAGGACCCAUACUCUGGUAGUAGGUCCCAUACUCUGUUAGUAGGUCGUGUAGUAGGUCCCAUACUCUGUUAGUAGGUCCUGUAGUAUGUCCCAUACUCUGGUAAUAAGUCAUGUAGUAGGUCCCAUGCUCUGUUAGUAGGUCCCAUACUCUGUUAGUAGGUCCUGUAGUAUGUCCCAUACUCUGGUAGUAGGUCCCAUACUCUGGUAGUAGGUCAUGUAGUAGUUACCAUACUCUGUUAGUAGGUUCCAUACUCUGAUAGUAGGUCAUGUAGUAGGUCCCAUACUCUGUUAGUAGGUAUUGUAGGUGGUCCCAUACUCUGGCAGUAAGUCCCAUUCUCUGGUAGUAGAUAUUGUACUAGGUCCCAUACUCUGUUAGUAGGUCCUGUAGUAGGAACCAUACUCUGGUAGUAGGUCCCAUGCUCUGUUAGUAGGUCCCAUAAUAUGUUAGUAGGUCCUGUAGUAGGAACCAUACUCUGGUAGUAGGGCCCAUACUCUGUUAGUAGGUCCCAUACUCUGGUAGUAGGUCAUGUAGUAGGAACCAUACUCUGGUAGUAGGUUGUGUAGUAGGCCCCAUACUCUGUUAGUAGGUCCUGUAGUAUGUCCCAUAAUCUGGUAAUAGGUCAUGUAGUAGGAUCCAUACUCUGUUAGUAAGUCCUGUAGUAUGUCCCAUACUCUGGUAGUAGGUCCCAUACUCUGGUAGUAGGUCAUGUAGUAGGUCCCAUACUCUGUUAGUAGGUCCCAUACUCUGUUAGUAGGACCCAUACUCUGUUAGUAGGUAUUGUAGGUGGCCCCAUACUCUGGCAGUAAGUCCCAUACCCUGGUAGUAGGUCAUGUAGUAGGUCCCAUACUCUGUUAGGUGGUCAUGUAGUAGGCCCCAUACUCUGGUAGUAGGUAAUGUAGUAGGUCCCAUACUCUGUUAGUAGGUCCCAUACUCUGUUAGUAGGUCACGUAGUAUGUCCCAUACUCUGGUAGUAGGUCCCAUACUCUGGUAGUAGGUCAUGUAGUAGGACCCAUACUCUGGUAGUAGGUCAUGUAGUAGGACCCAUACUCUGGUAGUAGGUCCCAUACUCUGGUAGUAUGUCAUGUAGUAGGAUCCAUACUCUCGUAGUAGGUCAUGUAGUAGGACCCAUACUCUGGUAGUAGGUCCCAUACUCUGUUAGUAGGUCCUGUAGUAGGUUCCAUACUCUGUUAGUAGGUCCUGUAGUAGGUCCCAUAUGCUGACAGUAGGUCCCAUACUCUUGUAGUUGGUCCUGUAGUAUGUCCCAUACUCUGGUAGUAGGUCCCAUACUCUGUUAGUAGGUCGUGUAGUAGGUCCCAUACUCUGUUAGUAGGUCCCAUACUCUGUUAGUAGGUCCUGUAGUAUGUCCCAUACUCUGGUAGUAGGUCCCCAUACUCUGGUAGUAGGUCAUGUAGUAGUUACCAUACUCUGUUAGUAGGUUCCAUACUCUGAUAGUAGGUCAUGUAGUAGGUCCCAUACUCUGUUAGUAGGUAUUGUAGGUGGUCCCAUGCUCUGUUAGUAGAUCAUGUAGUACGUCCCAUACUCUGUUAAUAGGUCAUGUUGUAGGUCCCAUACUCUGUCAAUAGGUCCCAUACUCUGAUAGUAUGUCCCAUUGUCUCACACAACACUCUCCUAUCUACCCUGGAACAUGCAUAGAACACAGUGUAUGAUGAAUUGAUGACAUUGCACUAUAUUUAGAUCUGAUCAGAGUGCAUCCAUUAUGGGCUAUAAAAGAGACCUUGAGUCAUCAGCUUGAUUGUUUGAGUGUAUUGACUAUUUGUAAUUCAUGCACAGCUCUGUGCUGGCCAGGCAGUGCCAUCCUGUUGAGACAGACAAUAAGUAGGUGAUUUAUAACAGUCUAAAUGGGACAUAGAGAGGCCAGUGGGGCAUUAGACGAGCCCUGCCAUGAGUCCCACAUGACAUUUAGGCUGGUCUCUUCCACAUUUGUCCCUAUCCCUUCCAUCUCUAUCUCUUAGUUUAUCAGACAUCCAUCGAUUGGUUGGUUUUUGAAGAUGGCUAAUUUUAGAGCGGGCUAAGAAUAGACUGAUGAGCAGAAUAGACCAAUGAGGAGUGAUGUAGGAUUAUGAACUCUGAGCUCUGAGAGACAAUAGUGCUGGUCUAGUAGUAAGCCACCUGCUGUGAUCCAGACUAGGUGGUGAGGGAGUAAAAACAGUUGACACUUUAUUCAUUGUGAUCUGAUGUGCUUCACUUAAUAGGGACAGACUGCAUCCUGGAUAAUUGCAUUGUUGUUAUCAUAGUAGUUAUAGAAGAACAACAUAGUAUAAGGGACAAAGUAUUGCCAUGUAAUAAUAAUAUCAUUUUUUAGCAUAUCCCAACUCUCCCUGAGACACCCUCGGCGAGUGGGGUCACAGCCUUAGUCUGCCAUUAUCAAUGGCAACCCUGGGAGGGUUAAGUGCCUUGCUCAAGGGCACAUAAACAGAUGUUUCACCUUGUCGACUCUGGGAUUCAAACUGAUGACCUUUCAGUUACUAGGCCCGUCGCUAACCACUAGGCUACCUGCCGCCAGGUGUAUCUCUCGAAGAGUUUCCUUCUAGUUUUAUAUCUUGAAGAUUGGACAUCAAAUAUAAUGGAAUCAAACCAAACACAAUGAUGAUGAUGGUUAUGAUAAUUAUGAUUUCCAAAGCAAUGACAACAUACAUUAGUUUAGAACAGAAACAUGUCCCUGAUGGCGGUAUGUACAGCAUUACCCUUCUCCCACUUCCAGUCCCAGUCCAGCUCCAGUGUUCCUAUCUGCUCCGGUCCAGGGUUUGGCAGCAGCCUGCCAUCUGUGCAGCAGAGUAGUCUCUCGUGCACUGGUGUCUGAUGUCGCACUAGGCAUGAGAAGAAUGUCAUUGACGUCAGUGCAGUCCCUGUCAGAGAGAGUGGCACCCCACCCACUGAUACCAAAUCAGAAAGGGAGAGAGAUAAUGAGAGAGGGAUAUCGAGAGAGGAAGAGAGAUAACGAGAGAGGGAGAGGAAGAAUGAUACACAGAGGGAGAGGGGGGGAAGGAAAAGGAUGAGGAGGAGGAGGAGGAGGAGAGGCAGAGAAAUGUAAAAGAGAGGGUGAGGGAGGGGGCAAAGAGGAAAAAGUAAUGCAAUGCCGAUGUUUGUGAGGGUUGUGAGUUAUGUUGGGAAUAUUACUGUACAUGUGGCACACACAUACGCACACACACUCCAUUGCCCUCCACACUGCCCUUUCCCACCUUGACAAAAGGAAUACCUACAUGAAAAUGCUGAUCAUUGACUACAGCUCAGCGUGCAACACCAUAGUGCCCUAUGGUGAGGGUUAAGUGCCGGGCCUACUCCAGGUGGUGAGGGUAAGCAACAACACAUGCGCCACACUGACCCUCAACACAGGGCCCCUCAGGCCCUGUUCACCCACAAAGUCUGCCGACGACACAACGGUGGUAGGCCUGGUGGUGGUAGGUCUGAUCACCGACGGCAAUGAGACAGCCUGAAGGGGGAGGUCAGAGACUUAGCAGUGUGUUGCCAGGACAACAACCUCUCUCUCAGUAUCAGUAA
Oncorhynchus mykiss (rainbow trout) is the source of this 3808-nucleotide non-coding RNA. The record is from RefSeq and is a predicted model, not a curated record. NCBI's taxonomy places the organism in Eukaryota, Metazoa, Chordata, Actinopteri, Salmoniformes, Salmonidae.